AAGGAAGGAAGGAAAGAAGAAAGGAAGGAAGAAAGAGAAAAGAAGAACCGAGGAUGGUUAUUGAAUUUUGUUACAUUUUUCUCAAUCUAUAGUUUUUAUCAUCAGCUUCUGUCUUUUUGUAUGUGUGUGAAAAAGAGUUUUGCUUUCAUUUUAAAAGAUACUUGAAAUUCUAGUGUGACAGUUUUACCCUUUAAUAUUUUAAUUGGCAAGUAAAAAUUGCAUAUGUUUAUGGUAUGCAUGAUGUCUUGUUAUGUGAACACUGUGGAAUGGCUAUCUCAAGCCAUUAUGUGCCUGCCUCACGCACUCUUGUUUUCAUAUAUGCAGAGUAAUCACUGAGCCUUCUCUUAGGGACGUCAUUUGUAAUACACUGUUCAUAACUGUAGUCUCUGUGAUGUUCGCUCAUAUCUUGAACUUGUUCCUCAUACCUCGCUAAAUUGUUGUGUCCUUGACCAAUGUCACCACAGUUUCCCUCCACCCAAGCCUGUUGUAACCACUGUUACCCUCUUCUUCAGUGAGUUUGAAUGUCCCUCAUAUGGAUGAGACCAUGAGUAUUUGUCUAGCGUGGCUUGUUUUAUUUACUGUGCCAUCUUCCAGGCUUGCUCAUAUCACAAAUGACAGAUCUUUUUUUUUAAAGCUGCAUUGUACACAGACACACCACACUUUCUUUAUCCAUUCAUCUACUGAUAGACACUUAAAUUGAUUCUAGAACUUGGUUCUCGCAAAUAAAUAUAACUGCAACCAACAUGCAUACAUGUAUGGUCUGAACCCUUUUUGGUAAAUGUACAGAAAUAGGAUUGCUGGAUUAUAUGAUAAUUUUGUUCUUUGUUUUUUGAUGAAUACCUAUAGUUUUCCAUAAUAGUUGAACUAACUUACUUUCCUACCAACAGUAUACAAGCGUUCUCUUCCCCACAUUUAUGUUUUCCGGGUCAACACUUUUCUUUCAUCUUUUUUAUAAUAACCCUUUUAAUUAGUGAGAGUUCGUAUCUCAUUAUAUUUUCCCAAUAUCCAAAUAUGGUUAAUGGGAGAUUUGGGUAGAUUUUUAUUUUAAUUAAUUUUUGUUUGUUUGUUUAGCUUACUUUAUUUCCUUUGGUUCAUAGAUGACAAUAGAGAUUUCUUUUGUGUACUUGACUUCCAAGGUUAUAGUUGAAACUUUAAAUUUAACUUUAAAUUUAUCAACAUACGAAUAGCAAUAUUAAUCAUAAAAUCUCACAGAAUUUCUGUACAUGCAUAUACUUAUUCAUGCAAUUUGAUCAUGAUCUGUCUUGACGCUGUCAUAUUUUCUCAUGUUUCUUGUAGUUGAAGCAUAUUGGAUACUUCUUAAAUUUAGAAAUAUUUUAGUUAUACUUUCAUCAAUAUUUUGUGUCUUCCCUUGACCUACCUCCUUUAUUCACACACUUACUGGUCUGUCUGAGGUUGUCCUGUGGACCAGUGAUGCACUCCCUUUUCUCUUGAAGCCUUUAGUUCUUCUGUGCUUCAUGGUGAAUGGCUUCUAUUUCUGCAUCUUCAAAUACCAAUUGGCCUUUAAUGUCUAAGCUAGUGUGAAUCUUGUCCAGUGCAUUUUACAUCUUUGAUGCUUUUUACUUCUUCCAUAUUUAGAAGAUAUUUCAGGUGUGGACUUGAAAUAGGGUUUUACCUUAUCUCAGGCUCCUUCUUUCAGCUUCCUGAGUAUUGGAAUUGUAGGUGUGGCCCAAAGGUGUCUAGCUAGAAAUGCAUUUUGUAGAAGCAUCUUCAUUAUCUUUGCCUAAUAUAUUGAAUGUAUCUCUAGUGUAUGUUUCCUUUGUCUAAAUAAUCAUUUAAACGUUAAUUUUGUAAACUAUUAUUUGUAAUAUUAAUAGUAUUAAUUUCGUAAAAUUAAUGAUAGGGGUGAAAGAUUUAGAGAGCCAGAGGAAUAGGAAGUUUGCUGUGAGACUGUGUCUCCUAGAAAUGUCAGAAGCUACUCCCGUGAAAUCUCAUCAACAUGAUUGCCAAAACAAGCCCUUCACUACAGAGACACCAAUGGACAUGCUGUCACGGAAGGAGAAAGCUUGUGGGACCUUCACCCUUCUUUCUGAAGUACAGAGUGUAGUGUAUGCUGGCAGAUGCUCUACUGCUGAGCUGUAUUCUCAGCCCCUUUCUCACAUUCUGAAUAUUUGGAACACAGUCACCACACCUAUUCUAUUAACCUUCCUUAUUAAAGUUAUAAUUUAGAUCAUUUUUAAGUAAUUUUGAACAGAAUUUAUUUCCCUGCUCACUUUUUUAAAAAAAUUGAUUCUUCAUGUUCCUGGUCAUUUUCUACUAGAUGCACACCAGUCAUUCUCUCUCUCUCUCUCUCUCUCUCUCUCUCUCUCUCUCUCUCUUUUCUCUCUUUGAGACAGGGUUUCUCAAUGUAGCUUUGGAGCCUGUCCUGAAACUCACUCUGUAGAUCAGGCUGGCCUCAAACUCAGAGAUCCGCCUGCCUUUGCCUCCCAAGUGCUGGGUUUAAAGGUGUGCACCACCACUGCCUGGCAGUUGUUUUAUCUUAAAAGGUGGUACAUAGACAUUGUUCUGGAGUAGGACCAAGUAUUAAGAAGCAAACUGAUGCUUCAGAUCCUGAUUUAGUCUUUGUUCAGCAGGAUCAGGACAGUGUUUAGCUCAAUUUUCAUUUCUCCCCACAACUGAGACUAGAAUGUUUUCAUUACUAGCCUCACCCCCAAGAGUUAUGAGGUUUUCCAUUCAGGAUGAUGGGAACAGUCACUGUCCUGGCUCUCUGUGCAUACUGGGACAGUUAAGGUAGUUAACUAUAUGUUUGGGCACUUCUUAGCUGAAACCUUGCUGAAGACUACAAAUCCCAGACGCUCUCACUGGCCAUCUCUCUUUCUCCUUUGGCUCUCUAUUCUGAAAACUUUGAUUACAUUGGCUUCCCUGGACUCCCGUGCCUCCUCCUGGAAAAGCCACCAGUACCCUACCCUGCCUUCCUCAGUGUGCAGCUGGGGGCAACCGUGGGGGUCACCUAGCUGAUCCUAUAGAGAACACUGUCCUCUGCCAAUUAUUGCCACUGUCACAAAAGCUAGUAUUACAUGUAUUUAUCCAGAGUUUUACAUAGGAAGAUAAACCUAGUCCCCUUAUUCCAUGAGCACAAGGAGUAGAAGUCUCAUCAGAUGGUUUUUAACCAUUUGAAUAUAGUGUCCAAGGCAAGGCCCAGGAGAUGCUCUUUGCUAGGCUGUUCAAAUUACUUCCCAGAUAAUAAUUAAUGGUGAUGUUCACUGCUCUAGUUACAAAACUGAAUAUGCCUCACCUCCAUUUUUUGUUCUAACUUGUGAUUUUAUAAUACAUAAUGUUUUUUAGUAGUAUAUUCCAUAAUUGUGAUACAGUCAGCUUGUAUAAUUGAAGAACUUGACCAACGAUUUUUAUUUUAUAAAUUAUAGUUUGAGAGCUUGAAAACAGAACCUAACUCAUGCCAAGUUUAUGCCAUACUGCUGAGCUGUACUCCCAGAUUUAAGAACAUGUACAAUUUCUAUAUAUUAUUGAUAAUACACUUGGAGAAAAUCAGAGAAUGUAUAAGGACAGAUAUUUACUGACAUUGGAUCCUUUGAGGAAAGCUUUUGUUCUAUGUCAGUAAUUCUUCAUUUUUGCUUCUGGAAUGGAACAAAACUCAUCAAACUCUUGGUCCUGCCCACCUAGAUCCUAAAGUCUGAAUUCAGCCCUCUAAAUGUGCAGUGGCUGCUAACAGCAUUACUUCUGCACUGUUUUUCUGUGAGACUUUGUCCCUCUUUGCAUAUAAGGGAAGAAAUGGAGGGAAACUAAACAAGAUGCUUAAGAUGCCAGAGCUGCUGUCUGGUUCAGUCGGGAUUUCAGAUCCAGAUCUGCUUGGGGAAGAGUCUCAUGUGCCUCAUCUAGCUUUCCUCUGGGUUGUGAAACCUGGCCAGCUAGUCACACAAUUAUUGUAUGGGACACAGGAAGCUUUGUGAUGCUUUUCUCCUGCAGGGACUCCCUUAGCUGUUCAUCUGCUCAACGAGAAGAAAACAAAAGUCGUUUAGGACAAGACUGUUGAAUGUAUGUCAGAGUUGGUUGAUAACCCACCUGGGGUGUUUUUAAUUUGCUCAGGGAUCAGAUUUGAGCUCAGACAUUCCACAUGGCUGUAUUCCGCCUGAAGAGAAGAAUGGGUUUUAGUCAGUAAACUACAGUAAACUCAAAAUUUGCCUGAACCUAUUUCCUUAUGACUUUCUGUCCAAAGCACACUCCAGUUCCAGCAGUCAGGAGGGAAACAUGCUUCCCUUGGAGGCUCUCCACAGCUGUGCAUGGCUUCUCCUAGAGAAGGUCUAAACUGAAUGAAAAUUUGAUGAAAAGUUUUGAUCUCAAACAAUCUUCCUAAUAAUUUUGUGGUAUAGGUCAAGCAGGCACAUUCCUUGAAAAAGAGAUGAUAAAGUUAUACUGAGCCCACAAUGGUCCACACUGGAGAUAUCCCUUGUGUGAGACCUCCAUAAACAGAGAGCCAAUUUCACGUUACUGGGCGUAAAGUCUGAGCCUACAGGCAGGAGCAGGGGACUUGUCAGUGGAAGAAGUCAAAAAACUGCCCAGAUUGUCCCCAGCAGGGGAAGGGUUCAUCUCAGCUGCCUUAAGAUUGGACCAAGGCUUAGCAUCAGGUCAUUGGUGCCUAUCACUGGGGCAAAGAAGGAUUAUUUUUAUUAAGUUUUCAUGUUUGUGUAGGAGCUUUCGGUCAUUAAUCAUCUAACUCUUGGGGCUCAUGGGACUUUUGCAAUGGGAAAGAAAUAACACCAUCUAGUUUACAGCUACAGACUUGGAAGCAGCACCAUCCGCUGCUGUUAGAUCUAAGGAGCCGAAGCCAUCCAUACCCAAGAAUCUGGGGAGCCAGCCCAGGAGGUCCGCGGACUUCUGUUCCACACUGAAGUGAGGUGUACUGUUUUGAUACAAAAUUAGCUGAUUUCUUUUUCAUUUUUUAAGGCAACAUGAUAGAUGCUGAGUUGUAUCGAAGUAAAAAAGAAACAAAAACCUUUCUUCAUUUCAGACAUUUUCUGGUUGGGAAUUCUGCUGCUGGGUCCUCACAAUGUUUUGAAAUCGAAAUGUGCAUUUAUGGAGCAAAGAUUAUAAGGCAUUGCUUGCUGAUCCCAUCUUCUCAGAAGAAUGAGAACAUGAGCAAACAUUCUGUGUGGGGGUUGGGAGCCUACAGUAAACAAAGGACUAUGAGAGAAUUGCAGGGAAGUUGUGAGGCCCACCACUAAUCUGGUGGCUUCCUGGAGAAAGUGUGUUUUGAAGUUCAGUUAAAAGAUGCCUAAAUCGCUGUAGCUUAAAAAUCCUUCAAGCCAGAUCCUGUGAAGUAGCUUUCCUAUUUCUGUCUACGGGCUAUAAACACCUGAAAGUAUUACAAGAUGGGGGAAUGUCCAGAGAAACUUGCAAGCACAUGUAUCAGAGGAAAGAAGAGAACUCCGACAGUGAGAACUUUAAGAUCUAUCAACUGGCUGGGUUUGGUAGCACGUGCUUUUAACCCCAGCACUCAGCAGGCAGAGGCAGGAGGAUCUCUGUGAGUUUGAGGCCUGCCUGAUCUACAAAGGGAGUUCCAGAACAGCCAGGGUUGUUACAAAGAGACACACUGUCUCAAACCAACCAAUCAACCAACCAACCAACAAACAAAGAAACAUCUAUCAACUGUGAAGCAGACUGACUAUUGGAGGCAUUUGGGGGCUUGUGUUCAGAAGACUCUCUGAAACCAGUGAUUUGUCCGAAGUCAGAGAUGAAGUACAUCCUCUCCAGCAGUGAUGGAUCUAAAUUAAACUGACGAGAAGGAAAUCCCUUCUGGGAAUGUCAGACUGUCCUUCCCCUCCUCCUCUACAAAGGAGACAGAAGACUAAGUUGGUGAGCAAGUCAAACCUGCCUCAGGGCUACUCCACAUGCUUCUGGGCUGAGGCACCAUGGAGGCUGAUGAAGGCAGAAUUUGGGAAAAUGGGGUUCAUGGUGCGCUGGUCAUUCCAGAAAUGUAACCCCACAGAAAUGUGCUGCCCUGGCUCUGGAAGACCAGUAAAACAAAUAAAGCUGCUGCCUAUUUGGAGCACACGCUGGCCCCUUCCACAUCUGCAGGACAUUUAGCUCCUUGCAUCUGGUAGUGUUUGUGCAAAUAUAAUUCCAUAUUCACUAAUAAUUCCUGGGGCUAAAGUCCCCCCCCCCACCACACACCCGUAACCUUGUUAAUAUUCUCUCAAGGCCUGGU
Long non-coding RNA from Peromyscus californicus insignis, 6181 nucleotides. RefSeq lists it as uncharacterized. NCBI's taxonomy places the organism in Eukaryota, Metazoa, Chordata, Mammalia, Rodentia, Cricetidae. The transcript has 3 exons. The record is from RefSeq and is a predicted model, not a curated record.